Molecule: ribosomal RNA, 119 nt
Filed under: Oryza rufipogon (brownbeard rice)
Lineage: Eukaryota; Viridiplantae; Streptophyta; Magnoliopsida; Poales; Poaceae
Source: RNAcentral
GGAUGCGAUCAUACCAGCACUAAAGCACCGGAUCCCAUCAGAACUCCGAAGUUAAGCGUGCUUGGACGAGAGUAGUACUAGGAUGGGUGACCUCUUGGGAAGUCCUCGUGUUGCAUCCC